AAGUCGUAACAAGGUUUCCGUAGGUGAACCUGCGGAAGGAUCAUUACCGAGUCUUCGAGGCCCUAAUGGGUCUCGUCCUCUCCAACCCAUUGUUUACAAACCAUGUUGCCUCGGCGGGUCAGCGGUCUCGACCACCUCUGGCUCCUAGGAGCUCUUGAGCGCCCGCCGACGGGACCGACGAAACUCUUCUUGAAACGAGAUCUUCUGAGCUAAACUAAUAAAUACUUCAAAA
This 232-nucleotide unclassified non-coding RNA is filed under the name plant metagenome. RNAcentral's name for it is "partial contains small subunit ribosomal RNA and internal transcribed spacer 1". The stretch from base 1 to 46 matches the Rfam family "Eukaryotic small subunit ribosomal RNA", at positions 1786 to 1831 of the family's 1831-position model. The record is from RNAcentral.